GGCAUAGCUCAACGGUUAGAGCAGGGGACUCAUAAUCCCUUGGUUGGGGGUUCGAAUCCCUCUGCCCC
Molecule: transfer RNA, 68 nt
Filed under: bovine gut metagenome
Rfam family: tRNA
About the family: Transfer RNA (tRNA) molecules are approximately 80 nucleotides in length.
Source: RNAcentral